Molecule: long non-coding RNA, 225 nt
Organism: Amphimedon queenslandica
Lineage: Eukaryota; Metazoa; Porifera; Demospongiae; Haplosclerida; Niphatidae
Exons: 3
Source: RefSeq, a predicted model, not a curated record
AUUCCAUUGUUUGAUGCUGUUAAGAGUGGUAGUAUUGAAGCUGUUGAUAUUCUAUUAACUAAUGGAGCUAGAACUGAUGUGUCUGAAUAUUCUGGUACUCCAUUACACUGUGCUAGUGAAACUGGUAAUGCUGAUAUUAUCAAGUUAUUAAUAACUAAAGGAAAGGCUGAUGUGAAUGCUGCGGAUAAGAACAACAGUACUCCAUUGUUUAAUGCUGUUAAGAGU